RNAcentral lists this ribosomal RNA (469 nucleotides) under uncultured bacterium. RNAcentral's name for it is "partial 16S ribosomal RNA". It matches the Rfam family "Bacterial small subunit ribosomal RNA", at positions 28 to 507 of the family's 1533-position model. The record is from RNAcentral.
GAUGAACGCUGGCGGCGUGCUUAACACAUGCAAGUCGAACGGUGAAGCUCCAGCUUGCUGGCGUGGAUCAGUGGCGAACGGGUGAGUAACACGUGAGCAACCUGCCCCUGACUCUGGGAUAACAGCCGGAAACGGCUGCUAAUACCGGAUAUGCACCAUGAACGCAUGUUCUGUGGUGGGAAAGAUUUUUCGGUUGGGGAUGGGCUCGCGGCCUAUCAGCUUGUUGGUGAGGUGAUGGCUCACCAAGGCGUCGACGGGUAGCCGGCCUGAGAGGGUGACCGGCCACACUGGGACUGAGACACGGCCCAGACUCCUACGGGAGGCAGCAGUGGGGAAUAUUGCACAAUGGGCGAAAGCCUGAUGCAGCAACGCCGCGUGAGGGAUGACGGCCUUCGGGUUGUAAACCUCUUUUAGCAGGGAAGAAGCGAGAGUGACGGUACCUGCAGAAAAAGCGCCGGCUAACUACGUG